Molecule: long non-coding RNA, 3520 nt
Filed under: Canis lupus familiaris (dog)
Lineage: Eukaryota; Metazoa; Chordata; Mammalia; Carnivora; Canidae
Description: lncRNA (ENSCAFG00845011622.1)
Source: RNAcentral
GUCAUGUUACUCAGGAAGCGCACAGAUUCCUUCCUGCUGUAUAUUUUGGUUUUCAGUAUCUCUUCCCUUUAGUUUUUUUGGUCCACUCUGUAAUGCUAAGCGUCAAAGUCUAAACAAAGGACACUAUUUUGUGGUAUGCAUUAUACUAAUCUGUGGAGAAGAGUGUGACAGGGAAAUCAUCUAUCCAUUUUGCCUCUAAUGACAAACAUGACACAAUACACAGAUACCUCCUGUUAUGAGUUGAAUGCACCCUCACUUCAUAUAUUAAAGGCCUAACCCCCUGUGUCUCAGAAUGUGACUGUAUUUGGAGAAGUUAGUAAAUAAUUAAAGAAGUAAUUAAAUUAAAAUGUGGACUCUAGGGUAGGCCAUAAUAUAAUAUGUCUUGUGUUAUUAUAAGAAAAGAUUCAGGUCCUCAUACAUGCAGAGGGAAGACUAUAUGAAGACACAGAGAAAACAGCUGUCUACUACCUAAGGAGAGAGGCCUCAAAAGAAACCACUGUGCCAACAUCCUGUUCUUGGACUUCUAGUCUCCAGAACUGUGAGGAAAGAGGAGUGCACUCUGGACUCUGAAAUGAUAAAGGAUAGAAUCUUUCAUUUCCAUCUUGAAAUUUCAAGGGAGGAGGAUGGAGUGUUGGUGCUGGUGGGAGAAGGUUGGAGUGUUUGGGUCUGAAUAGAAUGAAACUACAUAAAAGGAAAUAAAAGGCCCCAAACACAGGCGAAUAAUCGAAGUGGGUUGGAUUUAAGCCUAAAAAUUUGCUUUGCCAGGUAAGUACUUUGAGAUACAAAUAAUAUUAUCUUUUAAGUCUGCAUAUUUUCCCUUCUCCCACAGUCUCUCAGCAUUUUGAGAAAGAAGAACUUGCCCUCUACACCUUUGUCUUCCCAACAGGGCCUGGACUGCUCUUCAGUAACUAUUUAUCAAUUGGUGCAUUGUUGUAAAUGUUCUUAACACCAUCAUGUGAUUAAAUCAGUGUUUUCUGGCCCUAAUGUCUAGUUGUUUUAUAUAAAUGUGAAAGAAAGAGGCACCUGGGUGGCUCAGUGGUCAAGCAUCUGCCCUUUGGCUCAGGUUGUGAUCCCAGGAUCCUGGGAUUGAGUCCCACAUCAGGCUCCCCACGGGGAGCCUACUUCUCCCCCUGCCUGUGUCUCUGCCCCUUUCUGUGCUUCUCAUGAAUAAAUAAAAAGCAAAAAAAUCUUAUAAAAAAAAGCAAGAGAAAGCGUAUAGCAAAGAAACCUCCCAAUUUCUUCCCCUCUCUCUCCUUCCUUCUUUUUUCUCCUUCUUCUUUCCCUUCAUCUCUUGUACCUUCUUUCUUUGAUUUUCUCUCAUUAUAGAGAUGCAGGGCUGGGUUUAUAUUGUUUUGUGGGACCCAGGAAAUUUAACAAAAAUCCCCUACCCCUGGACAAGCAGAACAGUACUAACUCCAUUUUGUGCUGCACCUGCCACCUCCUGUAUUACCCCCCCCCAUGACUUGCUUAUUGCUUAAGGCGCUGCCCCACCCUAGUCAAGCUGCUAGGCACACCCAAAUCGGAAAUCGGCUCAUAACAAUGUAAACCCCCCCGCCCCGCCCCCGCUUGUGCCCACCAAAACUGCCCACCGAUUCUGGCCAAAAUAAUAGGCCAGCUCAAAUGGAUACUAUAGGGUAAAAUGUAAUUCAAUCGGCCACCUGCAUGUGAACCGACAUGACUGUGCAACUUUCUGCGUAUGAUACAAUCCCAUUGGCAACUGGCCCCUAUAAAGCUGCUACCCCUCUUAGUCUCGGGGUCCAAGUCCCUGCUCCGCUGCGUUGGGUACACUUGGACCCAAGCUCGAGCUUGUAAAUAAACCUUCAUGCACUUGCAUUGGUGUCGGCUCCUUGGUGGUUUCUCGGAUUCGCAAUCUUGGGCACAACAGUUUUUGGUUCUUUUUCUAAAACUUUGGUAAUCAAACUUCUUUCUCAUUUUAUGUUGUAGUAAGUACAAUACAUUGAUAUGAAUGUUUUGUUGAUUUCUCAUGUUGUAGAUGGGAUCAAUUAGGGGGAGCACAUUAAUAUGAGAUCCUAAGUCAGAACAAGUGGGAGCAAAACACUUUAAAACAAGCUUCUAAGAAGCCAACAGGAACAAAUCAAAUCAUUUCUUACGAAGAAACAAGGAAGUACAGAGGCCAGUCUGCACAUAUAUCUUUGGUGGGAACAGGGGUUGAAAGUAGGUAAAAAAAAUGUGAACUCAUGUCCAGAAUGAUAUCACGGCACUUUGAGAUAAAUGCUAUAGGCCCCCUAUGUGAUUGCCAUGUUUGAUACUCAGCAUGCCUUUGAAAAAUCCUGUGGACUUUGUUUUUACCAAAGUUGGUAACAUAGUGAGUCUGGCUAGACAAUGAGCAAACUUACCAACAAAAUAUGACUGUAUCAUGGUGUAUUAAACUCAUCAUCGGAAAUAAAUGUUUGAAAACAAGAUGAGAAUAAAUAUUAUCAUGAAUUUGGCAGUCACUUGUGGGAGGCAACACAAAUACCUAGAAAUUUGUAGUAAUUAAGUCAUUGUAACCCUAAUAAGGUUUUCAAAGAAAUAGACACAUUUAAGGAAACCCCAAUCUCCCUUCCCCCUUUUCUCCUUACCAGACAGAAGAACCAAACGGUGUUGUCUAUUAUGCCAAAGAGAUAAUGGCCAAUUUUGUCUGUCAGACUUCAAAUGAAUUACAUCUAUAUGUGUGGAACACUAUUUUUGAGACACUUUCACAAUGUUACCUUAUUUAACAUUUGCAGAAAUAUAGCAGUUAUCCUUAUAUCUAUUUUACCAAAUAUGAAAUAACAAGAGAUCAUGACAUCUUCCAAAUGUUAACCUUCCAGUGUCUCUUGAAUAUGGCACUGGGAAGACCACUGAUCAGUGACUUCUGACUUAAUUUCCAGUGCUGGUCCAGUGAUCCCAGCACUAUGUCAUUAUCUACUCCAAGUUACCCUGGGCCUCGAACUAUGAACACAGAGUAACUCAUUUAGUCAUCAUUAAUUCAUAGAUUUCCAGUUAGAAUAAUACAUGAUCUUGAAUUACAUUCUGAAGUCAAUAGAAUAAGCAUUGCCCUGGGGUCCAUCCACCCCCAUCUUCUCUUGCUAAGAGCAUAGUUCUUAGAAGCCAUCCUUAAAAUUCAGGUGUUUCUCAGCUUCCGUAUUCAUUUAAGGCUUUUCCCCUUGCACAGGCCUACAGGAGAAGAAGACAAUUUUUAGUUUAUUCCUGUAGUUUUUUAGUCGAACACUUUGGAGGUUACUUUUGAAAAAAAGUUGGAAUGUGAAAUAGAAUUUCCAGAAAUGUUGCUACACAGAGAGGAGUUUAUGGGGCAGCAACGUUGGAAUCAGAAUCUGCUUAGAAACAGACUCUGGGCAGCCCGGGGGGCUCAGCGGUUUAGCGCCACCUUCAGGGCAUGAUCCUGGAGACCCAGGAUUGAGUCCCAUGUCCGGCUCCCUGCAUGGAGCCUGCUUCUCCCUCUGCCUGUGUCUCUGCCUCUUUCUUUCUCUCUGUGUCUCUCAUGAAUAAAUAAAUAAAAUCUUAAAAAAAAAAAAAA